AGGGAUUACAGUGACACAUAGAUUGGGGAAAUUGCCUCAUACUGGGGUGCAAUAAUACUGACAGACAAGGGUUCGGAAAGAUUGGGGCAGUCUUUUUUUACAUCCCUGGUGAGUGUCUGGAUGGCUAAGCAUUUGUAGCAAACAAAUAUGCCAUAGCUUUACAAUCUUUGGAAAAAACAUUUUGUUGUCAAACUAGGGUUGCACACAUCUAAU
Pelobates cultripes (western spadefoot toad) is the source of this 213-nucleotide non-coding RNA. NCBI's taxonomy places the organism in Eukaryota, Metazoa, Chordata, Amphibia, Anura, Pelobatidae. The record is from the annotation of a GenBank genome assembly.